Long non-coding RNA from Lycium barbarum (goji berry), 908 nucleotides. RefSeq lists it as uncharacterized. The transcript has 3 exons. The record is from RefSeq and is a predicted model, not a curated record. Lineage: Eukaryota; Viridiplantae; Streptophyta; Magnoliopsida; Solanales; Solanaceae.
UCUAAUAAGACUCCCCUUCAGUUCCUAUUUUUGUCUCCAAAGCCAAACGAACCCUUAAGGGUUCUCUACUAAGAUGAGAGAAAACCCUAGCGCUGCCCCCACCUUAUUUCGUCUCUGUUGCGUCAUCUUGUCGAUAAUGGCAAAGAUACAGAGGUACUGCACCUCUUUCAGGCUUGGUAUAGCCGCUUGGGGUAAAGCAUUUAAGCUAGCACCCUCUCUUCACCUGAUUCCAACCAAACAAGUUCCUGACAUUGGAUGUUGUAUUGAGAGAUGCAAUUCUGAGAAUUCCAAAACUCCGACAUCGAAUUGAAGCUAGGGUUUCGAGGAAUUGGGGUCUAUAAAUAGAACCCACAAAUCACAUUGUUUGACACUUUUACACCGAAUAUCACUUCCAUAUUCACAAAAAUUGAAAAUACCUAGGGUUUUAGCAUUUGCUUGAGACCUUUACUUUUUUUGGUUAGUUUAAGUUUAAAAUUUAUUCUUUAUUUUCUGGGUGUGUGGCUGAGUGUUGGAGUGGAAGAUUCAAGAUUCCAAUUCCAUUCUCGGUCAAGGUUGCACCAAGAAGAGGUUUUGUUACGGUUAGCAUUUCCCGGCCGAUGUUAGCGCUCAGAAAGCUACUUCGAACUUAUUGGUGCUCUUUCGGACAUUGUUUUAAAAGAAUCGCCACCUAAUUUUUAGGAAAUUAGGAAAACCAGUGGUGAAGGAUUUAUUCAGAUAUAGUGAAAAGGCCUUCGUAAUCCAAAGUUCUAGGUAAGGGUUCUGAUGAUCCCCUAGGGAAGGUGUUCGACACCCUAGUAUUAAGGAUCCGUACUAUACGGUUGACCUUCGAAUUCCAAUGUAUGAGUAUUUGCAUGAACUAUUUAUUUAGUGUUUAUUCCCGCAUUUAUAAAAUCUAUUAUUUGCAUAUC